This 220-nucleotide long non-coding RNA is filed under the name Gossypium raimondii (Peruvian cotton). Its description in RNAcentral is "long non-coding RNA (GRAI_LNC005774)". Lineage: Eukaryota; Viridiplantae; Streptophyta; Magnoliopsida; Malvales; Malvaceae. The record is from RNAcentral.
AUAUUUUUUCGUUUUGAGCAAUUUAAUUUUUUUUCUUUUAUGUUCUUUUAACUUUCUUUUUUUCUUUUAUUUUCCUUUCUCUUCUGCUUAUCCCUUUGUUUUCCUCCUUUCUCUAUAUCUUUUAGUGUAAUUUUUCUAUAUUUUCCAUUUGUUAAAACUAGUCCUUAUACUUUUAUUUUUUUUGAACAAUUUAAUUUUUUUCUUUAUUUUCUUUUUCUUC